Molecule: long non-coding RNA, 518 nt
Organism: Leptopilina boulardi
Lineage: Eukaryota; Metazoa; Arthropoda; Insecta; Hymenoptera; Figitidae
Exons: 3
Source: RefSeq, a predicted model, not a curated record
AAGCAAAGUGAACAUGAAAUGAAUACAAAAAAUUUAUGUCUUAACUUAAUAGCGGUUUUUUUUAUUAUUUUACUGUAUUAUAUACCUGCUGUCAGCAGGUAUAUAAAUGGUCAAAAUUUAUAUUACAGACAAAGUACAGCUAAAGAAGUAUAAGGCAGAAGAACCUGUUCAAUUGUGCCGCCCGGAACAUGACAGAUUCGUCAUUGACACUUAGUGCCGCCCGGCACACCUGUCAAGAAAAUGAGUGACAUUCCAGAAAUCAACAUUUUUAAAAUUAAAAGACGAGGAGGAAUUAAGGUCAGAAAAAGAUUUGAAACAAAGCAAAAUUUAAAAUUGGAAAUAAUAAAAGAAAUUCGAACCAAUGAACAAGUAGAAAUAAAGACCCUCAAUUCAGAUGAAGAAUUUUCGAAAUUUUUUCAAAAACUCUUAGACAAUACUUCAGAAAUUAUAGAAAAUAAGAAUAAAUUGUAAAUGUGUAAUAUAAUUGUACUUUUAAAUAUAUUUCAUAUAUAACUGUA